This 76-nucleotide transfer RNA is filed under the name Chelatococcus sambhunathii. RNAcentral's name for it is "tRNA-Arg". It matches the Rfam family "tRNA". From Rfam's summary of the family: Transfer RNA (tRNA) molecules are approximately 80 nucleotides in length. Their secondary structure includes four short double-helical elements and three loops (D, anti-codon, and T loops). The record is from RNAcentral. Lineage: Bacteria; Pseudomonadati; Pseudomonadota; Alphaproteobacteria; Hyphomicrobiales; Chelatococcaceae.
GUCCCGUAGCUCAGUUGGACAGAGCGGCGGCUUCCUAAACCGUAGGUCAGGGGUUCGAAUCCCUUCCGGGACGCCA